ACAGCGAAACUGCGAAUGGCUCAUUAUAUAAGUUAUCGUUUAUUUGAUAGUGCCUUACUACUUGGAUAACCGUGGUAAUUCUAGAGCUAAUACAUGCUACAAGCCCUGACUUCGGAAGGGGCGUAUUUAUUAGAUUAAAAACCAAUGCCCUCUGGGCUCCUUGGUGAAUCAUGAUAACUUCACGAAUCGCACGGCCUUGCGCCGGCGAUGGCUCAUUCAAAUUUCUUCCCUAUCAACUUUCGAUGUUUGGGUAGUGGCCAAACAUGGUUGCAACGGGUAACGGAGGGUUAGGGCUCGACCCCGGAGAAGGAGCCUGAGAAACGGCUACUACAUCCAAGGAAGGCAGCAGGCGCGCAAAUUACCCAAUCCCGAUUCGGGGAGGUAGUGACAAUAAAUACUGAUACAGGGCUCUUUCGGGUCUUGUAAUCGGAAUGAGUACAAUUUAAAUCCCUUAACGAGGAACAAUUGGAGGGCAAGUCUGGUGCCAGCAGCCGCGGUAAUUCCAGCUCCAAUAGCGUAUAUUAAAGUUGUUGUGGUUAAAAAGCUCGUAGUUGAACCUUGGGCCUGGCUGGCCGGUCCGCCUCACCGCGUGUACUGGUCCGGCCGGGCCUUUCCCUCUGUGGAACCUCAUGCCCUUCACUGGGUGUGCUGGGGAAACAGGACUUUUACUUUGAAAAAAUUAGAGUGCUCCAGGCAGGCCUAUGCUCGAAUACAUUAGCAUGGAAUAAUAAAAUAGGACGUGCGGUUCUAUUUUGUUGGUUUCUAGGACCGCCGUAAUGAUUAAUAGGGACAGUCGGGGGCAUCAGUAUUCAAUUGUCAGAGGUGAAAUUCUUGGAUUUAUUGAAGACUAACUACUGCGAAAGCAUUUGCCAAGGAUGUUUUCAUUAAUCAGGAACGAAAGUUAGGGGAUCGAAAACGAUCAGAUACCGUUGUAGUCUUAACCAUAAACUAUGCCGACUAGGGAUCGGACGAUGUUAUUUUUUGACUCGUUCGGCACC
RNAcentral lists this ribosomal RNA (998 nucleotides) under Memnoniella chromolaenae. RNAcentral describes it as "SSU rRNA". It matches the Rfam family "Eukaryotic small subunit ribosomal RNA", at positions 78 to 1087 of the family's 1831-position model. Lineage: Eukaryota; Fungi; Ascomycota; Sordariomycetes; Hypocreales; Stachybotryaceae. The record is from RNAcentral.